AUACGGAGGAUGCAAGCGUUAUCCGGAUUUAUUGGGUUUAAAGGGUGCGUAGGCGGUUUGCUAAGCGGGAGGUGAAAUGCCGGCGCUCAACGUCGGAAGUGCCUCCCGAACUGGUGGACUGGAAUGACUCUGCCGUGGGAGGAAUGUGUAGUGUAGCGGGGAAAUGCUUAGAGAUUACACAGAACACCGAUUGCGAAGGCAUCUCACGAAGGGUUGAUUGACGCUGAGGCACGAAAGCGUGGGGAUCAAACAGGAUUAGAUACCCUGGUAGUCCACGCAGUAAACGAUGAUGGCUAACCGCUGGUUUUUUCGGAUCAGUGGCCAAGCGAAAGCGAUAAGCCAUCCACCUGGGGAGUACGACCGCAAGGUUGAAACUUAAAGGAAUUGACGGGG
Molecule: ribosomal RNA, 393 nt
Filed under: uncultured bacterium
Lineage: Bacteria
Description: partial 16S ribosomal RNA
Rfam family: Bacterial small subunit ribosomal RNA
Source: RNAcentral